RNAcentral lists this long non-coding RNA (4985 nucleotides) under Elaeis guineensis (African oil palm). RNAcentral's name for it is "long non-coding RNA (EGUI_LNC068450)". Lineage: Eukaryota; Viridiplantae; Streptophyta; Magnoliopsida; Arecales; Arecaceae. The record is from RNAcentral.
UUGCUUGUACCCGGGAAACAAGUGUUCUAGCUUGGGAUAGCUAGGGUCGGAGUUUCUGACGUCUUGUAUUCUAGCUUGGGAUAGCUAGUGUCGGAGUUUCCGAUGUUUUGUAUUCGGGUUGAAUACAAAGGAUAGUGGAUUGAAAUUCCCAAGUAGAAUCUUGGGGAGUGGAUGUAGGUGCAAGGUUAGCACCGAACCACUAUAAAUCCUUGUGUUUGUGGUGUGCUUUAUCGCUUUAUCUUAUUUCUUUAUUAUAUCCUUGCAAUACUACUUUAGGUAAUUAAUAUUGAUUUAAAGCCAUUAUUUUGUUCUUCAUAAGUUAUUUGUUGGGCUUAAAAUUUUUAGAAACCCAAUUCACCCCCCCUCUUGGGUUGCAUAGCUGGGCAACAGGGUUGGUUUAGUCCUAUUCCAAAUAGGAUUUAAGAUCUUUUUUAACUCUAACUAAUUCUUGGACAUAAUCCUAACUAAUUUAAGAAUUAGUUAUAACAAACUAACUAAUUAGAUCCUAGUCCAAUUAUGAAACCAAUUACGCCCUAAUCCAAUUAGAGAAUUAGUUAGAUUAAAAUCCCAUUGGGUCCUAGUUAGAUUAAAAUCCCAUUGAUCUAGGGAUUGAUUCUUAAUGGAUAUCAGAGAAGUUUUUGAUAAUCAAGCCUAUUAUUCAAUAGGAUUUGACUAAUCAAAAUAUAUAAAAAACUAAAUUGAAUCUCAUUCAACUCAGAAUUUAAUUUGCAUCUCUGAGAUUAAUUGGAACAAGCCCUGUUAUCCAAUAGGACAGCAUCAAAUCAAUCCAAAGCCAAUCUAAUUGAAUCCAAUUCAAUUAGAUCUAACCCAAUCCCCAUUGCUCAAUCAAAUUGAGCCAAUUAACAAUCAUAUUGUUAAUUAAUAUUCUUCUAAUUUAUCAACUAUUAGUAAAUUAUUCAUUACAAUCUUUGCAUAGGAUUAAUCAUCAAUCUCAUUGAUAAUUAAAUCCUUCAAUGAUUCAUAAUCAUCGAUCAGUCAUUUGAUCAGAUAGAUACUUCUAUGUGCAUGACCCCAUAGGUUAGAACCUAAAUUGAUAGCAUAAGAAUAAUUUUUAUACUAAUCGAUGUAACCAUCUAGCAAUGGGAUCCGAUGUCCGGAUAGGCCGAAUGUAUGUCCCGCAUUCUCUAGAACCCAUGUGGAUAAAGUUAUCGUAUAAUUCAUCUCUUUGAUACUUGAUUCUCAAGGAUGAUUAAGGGUUAAACUGUCAACCCAAAAUGAGUAGUCCACAUUGUGUCUCAACUUUAAAAAUCUUGUGACUCCUCACUAGGACUACUUUGGCUAAAGUUUUGCUAAAUUGAAAACAUAGUAAUGCAUCAUCUCUAAUUUUACUUGGAGCAGUCAAUCCCAUUUUGAUUCACACUUAGACUUCACAAGUACUUGACUGUACCCAAAAAUCUUCCAUCAUUGAAUUAAGAAUUUGGAUAGUCCGACACCAAAGCAUUGUGAGUUGCUUGUAAGUCAUCGAGGCAGUUUCAAGUCAGAGGGAUACAUAUACCCAUAUCCCAUCAGAGCAACCCUUAACAGUAGAGUGCUCCAAAAGUAGUCACGCUCAGUGAAAUAUACUCCUACAUAUCAUUCGUAUGCCAUACCCGUGUCACCACAUGCUUUGGUUAAGAGGACAACCAACUAAUGUGGCACACAAUGACCUACACUCGAUACAAUUAUCAUCCUUGUAAUAAUUGUAUUAUUUGGUCAUGAGUAGAAUUUAAGAACCAUAUGAUAAAUCCUCCUUUAUCAUUUUGAAAGUAGCUCUAAGGACUUCGUCACAACAUAUAAGUUCUAUUUUGGAAGAUGCAUUUUUUAUGAUGAAUCUGCCAAAUAAUAUUUAUCAUUUUAUAAUUCAUAUACUUGUGUGGAGCACAAUCAUUUACAAUCUAGAUGAUUGGUUUUAGGACAUAUUUUUCAACAUCAAGUCUAUUUGUGAUUCUCAUAGAAAUUUUUUUUCAUCAAUCACACUGCUGUGGCCACAGACUCUCGGACUCAGUCUCUCAAAAUCUAUAGGACUGCUCCUCUCUAUCAAGUCAAUAGAUUUCAUUUAGAUGCACACUCUACUCCUACAGUAGACCAACUGUCGCCAACAUCCACUACAAGAUCUCAACAAGGCCAUAUUUAUAUAUCAGUCAAACUUCAGUAGCCUCACUGUGAGUAGUCGUACUAUCAUAGAUCAAAUGACCAUUCACAUAACUACAGCAUUGAGAUGAUCACUGAUGAUUGGUUAGAAAUUUAAGUGAUCUCUCAUAUGGUCAUGCUCAGUACUAGUUGUUAUUUAAUGACUAUCCACACUCAUCGUUUAGUGUCUCUACAUAAUAGAUCAGAGACUCAUCUACCCAAAAAGAAGUAAUCUGUGCAUUGGUCUAUCUAGAUCAAUUACUGUCCUCAUGAUGAUACUAUGAUCGAUAGUAUUUAGAAAUUAUAUAUGUCUCUAAUUCUCAAUACUUUGAAAAUAUGUAUCAAAGUAUUAAUUUUAUGGAUAAUUCAAGGAUACAUCACUCUUGAAUGAAAAUUAAACUUAUCCUUUUAUUGAUCAAGUCAAUAUAUCAAGUAUAAAAUUGUGCCAUAGAUUUAUUACAAUGUGUCAGCCAUAUUGGUUUCUAGGACAUACAUCUAAUAGCUAACUCAAGGGUUUGGAUUGAAAACAAGUCCAAGGGAUGAGACCAUGUGAGUCAUAGCUCAGUGAGUGCUUUCAUGUAUUGGAUUUAGCUUGAAGAGUUUUUCAGCUAGACUUUAUUAGGGUUUAUAUUUAAGCCCUAGGGUAUAUAUGUUAGAUAUAUGUUCUAGAAGCCAAUAUGGCUGACACAUUGUAAUAAAGUUAGGACAUAAUUUUCUACUUAAUACAUUGAUUUGAUCAAUAAAAGGACAAGUUUAUUUUUCAUUCAAGUGUGAUGUAUCCGCGAAUCAUCCAUAAAAUUAAUAUUUCGAUAUAUAUUCUCAAAAUAUUGAGAAUUAGAGACGUAUUUCAUUUCUAAAUACUUUUGGUUAUAGUAUCAUCAUGAGGAUGGUGAUCGAUCCGGAUAGAUCGAUGCACAGAUCGCUUUCUUUAGGACAGAUGAAUUUUUGAUCUAUAGUGUAGAGACACCGAGCAAUAAGUGUGGGUAGUUAUUAGAGAAUAACUAGUACUGAGCGUGAUCAUACAAAAGAUCACUUAGAUUUCUACUCGAUCAUCAAUGAUUAUCUCGAUGCUGUAGUUAUGUGAAUGAUAUUUUGACCUACGAUAGUACGACUACUCACAGUGAGACUAUUGGAGUUUGACUGACAUAUAAACAUGAUCUCAAUGAGCUCUUGUAGUAGAUGUUGGCGAUAGUUGGUCUACUAUAGUAGUGGAGUGCGCAUCAAGAUGAAAUCUAUCAACCUUGAUAGAAAGGAGUAAUCCUAUGAGAUUUGAGAGGCUAAGUCUGAGAGUCUGUAGCCACAGCAGUGUGAUUGAUGGAAAAGAGUUUUUAUAAGGAUCACAAUUAGACUUGAGCUAAUCAAAUUUAUCAUAUGAAUGAUGAUGAGGUUUGAUAAUUUUUUCAUGACCUACCAUCUAAUCGAAACUCAUGAUAGAGGGAUUGAAUCACACGUUAACUACACCUUAAGAUUCAUUUUUGAUUCUACUAGGUUGCCACUACAUACUGCUAGGUAUUACUGAUGGAUUGUGAGAGCUCACUAAGAUUGCUCAGGAUCGACAAUCCUUGAUGAGUUAGACUGAAAUUGUUUCAAUCUAUUGAAAAGAAUUUAAUGAUACAAUGAUAGAGAAUAUUGUAUAUCUUACUACCAGAUAGAAUUAAACCUAUGGGAUCACAUAAUAAAGAGACUAGAUUUGAAAUAAGUAAUUGGGCUUAUAAAGUCUCAGUUAGGUUUAGAGAAAUCCUAUUGGGUUCAGGGUAACCUUGCUAGCAUAUGAUUGGACUCAAUUUUUUCUUUAUAUUUGAAUUUCUUAUUUGAUAAGAUUAAUUCAAACUUAAUUAUCUGCUAAUAAUUAAAAUAAAUUAGAUUCAUUGGGCUCUAAUUGUUGGGUGCCUAAGAUUUUGGAUCAAAUGAAUUAAGGGUGCAAGUCCUUAAUUAAUUUUCUUGAUAGUUUUGAUUGGAUGCCACUUGAUUUGAUCAUGUUGGGUGUGCCCAUCUAUUAGAGGAUGUAUGGAUCCUUUAUGGAGCGUCCCAUGGGUGCAAAGUGGGGGGUGAUUUUGUGGGUCCAAGGGCUCUAAUAGUUGGCACCUAAUUGAUUUCCUAAAGGAAGUCAAAUAACUAAAUGAAUAAGAAAACAUAAUGCAAGUAGGACUUGUAUUAAGUGCUUGUUUAGUUUUGAAUAGGAUUCAAACCUUAUGCCUAUUUAAAAGAACCUUCCCUAUGGUCCCUAGGCACUUCAACCAGCAGCCCAUGCCACCUCUUGGAGAGUCCCACACCCUCUUUUCUCUUCUCCCUCUCUGCUCCCUUGGAGCAUCAACGCCCCAAGCUUGGGCAUCCUCUUUCUUCCACGCCCAAGGGCUGUUGGGUGUCUCCCUUAUUUGUCACUUUGUAGUCUCUGGUUGCUCUAUAAUCUAGAGAAGAAAAAGUAAGAGAAAAAGAGAAGAAGAAGAUCAAGAAAAGGAUCAAAGAGUUGAUCACGAUCCAGGCUUCAUUCAGAUUUAUAGGCUAAUUUUUCUUGGGAAAGAAAAAUUAAUUUUAAGAAGGCUAUUCCAAGCUGAUCCUGAGUGGAUACCCAAAAAGGUCGGGUACUUGCACAGCUAAAAGAGAACUUCUUCUCUUUUAGACCCAGAUUUGAAGAAAAAAAUUAUGAAAUAGGUAUGUGAUUCGAUCACAUAUUCAAUUUCAGCAUAUGUUCAAUUUCAUCAUAUGAAGUAGAUCUUUGUAGUUUAUGUUUUAUGCAUGCAUGAUAUAGAUUAAAAAAAGUUUUAAUCUUCUAUUCCACUAUCAUGUUUAGGAAAAAAAAAUUAAAAUAUACAUGCAUGCUCGGACAUAGAAAUUCCAACAGUGGUAUCAGAGCC